GGGGAUAACGUAGCGAAAGUUACGCUAAUACCGCAUACGAUCUACGGAUGAAAGUGGGGGAUCGCAAGACCUCAUGCUCAUGGAGCAGCCGAUAUCUGAUUAGCUAGUUGGUAGGGUAAAAGCCUACCAAGGCGACGAUCAGUAGCUGGUUUGAGAGAACGACCAGCCACACUGGAACUGAGACACGGUCUAGACUCCUACGGGAGGCAGCAGUGGGGAAUUUUGGACAAUGGGGGCAACCCUGAUCCAGCAAUGCCGCGUGAGUGAAGAAGGCCUUCGGGUUGUAAAGCUCUUUUGUCGGGGAAGAAACGGUGAGGUCUAAUACAGCUUACUAAUGACGGUACCUGAAGAAUAAGCACCGGCUAACUACGUGCCAGCAGCCGCGGUAAUACGUAGGGUGCAAGCGUUAAUCGGAAUUACUGGGCGUAAAGCGUGCGCAGGCGGUUAUAUAAGUCAGAUGUGAAAUCCCUGGGCUCAACCUAGGAACUGCAUUUGAGACUGCAUGGCUAGAGUGUGUCAGAGGGGGGUAGAAUUCCACGUGUAGCAGUGAAAUGCGUAGAUAUGUGGAGGAAUACCGAUGGCGAAGGCAGCCCCCUGGGAUAACACUGACGCUCAUGCACGAAAGCGUGGGGAGCAAACAGGAUAGAUACCCUGGUAGUCCACGCCCUAAACGAUGUCUACUAGUUGUUGGGUCUUAAUUGACUUAGUAACGCAGCUAACGCGUGAAGUAGACCGCCUGGGGAGUACGGUCGCAAGAUUAAAACUCAAAGGAAUUGACGG
This 780-nucleotide ribosomal RNA is filed under the name uncultured bacterium. Its description in RNAcentral is "bacterial SSU rRNA". It matches the Rfam family "Bacterial small subunit ribosomal RNA", at positions 139 to 916 of the family's 1533-position model. The record is from RNAcentral.